Molecule: ribosomal RNA, 253 nt
Filed under: uncultured bacterium
Lineage: Bacteria
Description: partial 16S ribosomal RNA
Rfam family: Bacterial small subunit ribosomal RNA
Source: RNAcentral
CACGUAGGGGGCGAGCGUUGUCCGGAUUUAUUGGGCGUAAAGAGCGCGUAGGCGGCCGUGCAAGUCGGUUGUGAAAUCCCGGGGCUCAACCCCGGGACUGCGUCCGAUACUGCACGGCUCGAGGCAGGUAGGGGAGAGUGGAAUUCCCGGUGUAGCGGUGAAAUGCGCAGAUAUCGGGAGGAACACCGGUGGCGAAGGCGGCUCUCUGGACCUGUCCUGACGCUGAGGCGCGAAAGCUAGGGGAGCGAACAGG